Molecule: long non-coding RNA, 6640 nt
Organism: Betta splendens (Siamese fighting fish)
Lineage: Eukaryota; Metazoa; Chordata; Actinopteri; Anabantiformes; Osphronemidae
Exons: 2
Source: RefSeq, a predicted model, not a curated record
AGCAGGCGAAGCCAUUCGUUCCUUGUCCGCACAGACAAAAAGACAUCCCGGUCCCCGGAACCAAGAAGAGAUUAAGGAUCUCUGCUUUUAUAUAAUCACGUAUUCUGCCUCACUUUGGAGAAAGCUGCUCUCGCACAGAGAAAGGGGAGCGAUAAUAAAGGCGCCGCUGAGGCACGCUGGGUGUUGUGGGUCACAGAAGUUCUGCUAUUAAGCAGAUUUCACCCACCUCGUGUGUCUUCAGCCUGUCUGCUCUUCUCUCCCUGCCUGUUUUACUCCCUCCUUCUCUCUCUCUCUCUCUCUCUCUCUCUCUUUUUUUUUUUUUGUCAGCGCGCUCACUGUGAGGAGAGAAAAUUAACUUACGCCAGGGGACAUAUGUGCAUGUGUUAAGCCAGGCAGGAUUAAGCCGUGAUGGCGCUAGCAGAGCCAUCCAAAGAGGUGCUCCCGUCCUGUGCUGUUCCACUGACAGACGAUCAUCCGCUGCUUCUUCGCCCACCGGUUAUUUAUACCACAGCUGUUGUGCAGUUGUUGUCAGACGGGCUGUGAGGGAAACAGACAGAUUCCUUCUGGUUGUUAUCGGACAUUAGCGCGUCGUCACGUGCUGUGUUCAGGGUACGUUUAAAGUUUGCGGCCGGUCAAAGGUCGUUGGGAUAAGGAUUUAUGAGACCCUGCGACGUGACUCAGCCUUUCUUCAUCCUCCAGGAGGGCGCCGCCAGCUGAAUUCAUAUCCAUGUACUCUGUUUUCAGCUCCUGCGUGUUGUGAUGAAUUUGUUUAUGAGGCCAGUGGGUAAAUCUACAAGGCCGCGAGACAGAACUGUGAUGCGAACAGAACGAAUGAUUUGCGGGUCGCAUUUUGAAAGAUAUGGUAAUUGAUGUUUGAUUUGUCACAUUGUGACUGAUGAAAAGCAAUUCCCAGUCUUUUUUGUGUUGCGUGGCUAAGGGAAAAAAUGCUGAUUAGAUGCCGGGGUCUGCAUCCCGCAGAUCAUUACUGGGGGUAUUUGUUUGGAUGAAAAAUCGCGGGAGUGCACGGUAUUGACCGUACAACAAUGCACAAAUAGAGGCGGACUUCAAGUGCGAAAUGUGGCCGAGAGAAGGAGCCGGCGCUCCAGGAAAAUGAAAAAUGUCUGCUCGAGUUAAUCGAGGACCUUCCGCGCCGCGGAAAAAAAGGCAGAAUCUGUAAGACUGCGCCUGGAAACAGGCAGGACUCAGUGAGCUCCUCUGAGCUACUUGUAAACACUCACUGUCAGGAGUGACCUGCUCGGCCCCCACCGGUGGGCAUGAAAUGUUGAUUUAUACCUCUCACUGGGAAGCUUUUCUAAGGCAACAUGUGUGCACUGUUGUGUUUAUUUGUGCCAAAGGUUGCGCUGAGGGGGAAGCAGCACCUCAUAAUGUUCAUCCAGAGCUGCAGUGGUUUUAGGCAACGAAACACACAUCUCCUUCUAUUAUGAGCGGCCCAGCAUCCACUGGAAGGGGAUUUCUUCAAGGACGACUGAGCCUGAGAGGUCGGUCUUAAAUAGGACAGAAUGAGCUCACUGGACGGAGGAGAGUCACCUUUUCUCCUCCCAUCCUCCCUCUCUCGUCCCUUUAUUCCCACUUUCGUAACCACCACCGUCGUGUGAGGAUCCGGCCGUACCUUGAAGCCAGCUCGUCAAAAUAAUGACUUCCAGCCAGUUAUAUUGCGAUGAUUAGCGCCGGCUGGAAAUUGAGUCAGUGAAGUAUGAAAGUGUUCAAAGGACUGUUGUCGGAGUUUGGAGAGAGGAGAGGAGUUGUCCUGUCUCCUGUGCUCCACAACAUGAUUGCUUUGUCACUGCACCUUUGUGCGUUUUAGCUCACCUGUAAAAUCCAUUUGAAUACUAAUACUUUGCAGUCUUUGUUAUGUGUCUCAGUAGACCCUUCAGAGGACAAGGGGAGCUUUUCUUUUUCAUCCCCGGCUGGUGGUCGUGGUCACCGCGUCCUUUGAGCGACGCUAAAACAGGUCCUUUUUGGGGGAAACAUUGUUGAGGAGAGUUAGUUUCGUUUCGAGAUAACAUCCAACUAAAUUGUUGUGCAGCGUAAUAGAUUCUCAGCGUCGCCUCCAUCUUUCCACUUCAUUACUCACUUGAAGCUCCAACAUAUUGGACGGCUAAUGAGGAAGCAUGGCUUCAGUGCGACAGUACAGGAGGUGGACGCUUGAGUCAAACCCGCACGCGUCCGUGCGUCUUCAUUAUCGAUUCUGACACACACCAGGUUUUUCCACCACAAGAACAUCCCUUUCUAUCACCGUAAAGUCCGUUCAGCUGUGUUUUAUGGCACUGGGAGAAGCAGAAGAAGAGAGAUUGUUCCAAAGAAGCACUAGAACACAAUAUAUUCCAUUUUACGAGCUGCUCUCACUUAUUCUCCAUAAUAAGUGAAGCUAGAGCAGCUUCUGAUUAACGUCAGAAGCCUUAACUUAACAUCCAACACUUUAAUAGCUCUUUGUACGUCUCUUUCACAAAAUGUCACCUACAUUAAAGGUAAUAUUAAUAUUUGUCAUGAGCGUAGCCUUCGUUUUUGACCGUAUGAUGUAACACAGACGUGCCGCUUUAUUUUGAGGCGUUUCAUCGUGUCUUUGAUAUAUUUCCCCCGGUUCCCCGACAGUUGCGUUUCCCACACCAGGGAAAUCAAGCAAAAGCCAACAACAAUUAAAUGUAUAAGAUUUAUAAGCAUCGUGCACCGAGUCAUACUGUUGCUUCCUAAGCAAUAAAACAUCACUAGUACCUAUAAUAAAGGCGGUGGCGGCGUCCGUGGAGGAUCUGCAGCAUAAAAAAAGGAUCAUCGUUCACUUCGAUGAUUCACGCUUUCUGGUGGCAUCUCACACACACACACACACGCACACGCACACACACACACACACACACACACACACACACACACACACACACACACACACACACACACACACACACACACACACACAAACCUGAAAUUCUCCCUUCAAAGCCCCAUGGGUUGACAGCUGUCUGUGUGAGGGGCUCAAAAAGCUGACUUGACAACACCAGGACAAAAACACAGCCGUAAUAAAUAAAGGAUGUGGAAACGCGUAUGCAUUGGGUAAAUAUUCUUUACGGCCUUAUGUUAAAUCCCAGUGAGAACUUAGUGCAUGGACUCCAGCAUUCCAUCUGACAUCAUAAACAGCUGUAAAGUAUUGCUCUUAUUACCUCCUUCCUGCAUGGGGACCCGUGUGACGGAGGCCCCUCAGGCCCGAUCCUGUGGGUCCGAUCCUGUGGGCCCGUCUGCUGUCGCAUGAACGAUGGCGGCAUCAGUGGCACGCGGCGUCACCGUGCCCCCAAAUAUAAAGAUGAAGCAUGUUUAUUCCCACGGAGGCCACAGAGCACUGGCCGUGGGGGCAGGAGUGAACGGCUGCUUGAUCUCCGAGGUCCGACUUCAGUUAACGGCUUGACCCUCGCAGCAGCUGGCUGUGCUGCUCCGCAGGCUCCUGUCUGAUGCCUCUGCUGCGGUUCUGUCUAUUGACCUCCGCUGACAGACGCAUUAGCGUCCGGACGCCAUCGAGGCAUAAGUGAUAAAACCGAAUUUUCAGCACUUAUUUGCUAAUUUGAGCACGGAGCCAUCAGCAGAAGUGGAUUUAUAUUACAGUGGAGAGCAGCGUCAUUAUGACAUUCUCUCUUUUUUCCAAAAUCACAUUUCCUGGUUUCAGCAGCAGCAACGUGUUGCUCUUCAUCCACCAGGACAGAAAGUUCUCCGUCUCUCGUUGACUUGUUGACAAAUCGGUUCAUGUCGCGCUGUAAUACGCUGGUGCGACCGAGGCCCACGGGCCGCGCGUCAUCAGUCAUUUGGGCUGUUUCCUCUCAGCUGACUGAAACUUCCAGGGGAGGCAGGAGCCCAGCGUGCCUCACAUAUUGAUCCUUCUGAGAGCCGCGUGCGAAGAAAUGUGACUUUUCCCGAGAGCGCCCGCCGCGCUUCCACAACAGGGCCUGUUUUUCCUUUAUGCUCCAAAUCGGCGAACCAUGCGCGUCUCCUCCGCGGCUCAGAGCCGCAUUUCCAUGCGGAUCGAUAGCGCGCUAACGUGCGAAGCGCUGCCACGCGGGCCGAUCUAUGAGCGAUGACAUUUAUGAACGAUGGCUUGACCAGAAAACAAGUUGCUCUCGUGCUCCUGCACUCAGUUGUCUGCUGCCGCAGCUCAUCAUGACUGCAGUAAUUACGGCGGCUAUAAUUAAUUAGCUGCUAGCUGAUGAGAAUUUCUCAUUGUUGACUCCGGUGCCCUGAUUGCUCUCGAAAUAAUAUCAUUACUCGCUGCUGGAGAUCUAUUGGAUUAUUUUAUUUUGCUUCGAUUAACACGAUUUCCAUUUUCAUGUUUCAUGCAACAUGUGAGGAUAUUAUUUGUAUUCGUCUCCGUGUAACGUUGUGUUGCAUUCAUCCACAACGCAGCCGUCUCCUUAAUGCUAUGGUGAUUGUGUAGUCAGAUGCAGCGAGUAUUGUCGAAGCAAAUAGUUUUGCCUGGUUGGACUAACAUUUAAAACCGAUUUUAACACGUCCCUUGCUUUGAAUGUACAGUACGCACGAACGAACGCGUCACGCAUCGGUGGCAGAACAAACUAGGAGGCAGCAGCUUCUCCUUCAUUUGACUCUGAAGCGGCGUAACUUUUUGGGUGCACGGCAUCUAGAAGGUUUGCCUUCCUCAGUCUCAAGGAACCGUGGUAGAAAAUAAGAGAAACGAGUAAAACAUGAUCGUGAAAGACAUUUCUAUGUCGGUGGCCGCGCUGAUCAGCAGAUUUAAAGGUCUGGUUGUUAAUUUGAGUCAUCAGUCAACGUGGACGCACUCAAAUGCCAUCGCAAUCAAUCGUCUCCACGUCACUAGCGUGGCUCAAAAACACAUUUGAUUCUUUCUUCCAUUAGAUAUCGCUCUCUCAUGCAGCGGACGACUGUAAAUGUGGGACUGACUCAAAAUACAGCAAACGGCGCAGCAGUGGCUCAGUGUUGCAGACAACAAGGAGAGGCGGCUCCACACAUCGGCUCAGGUGCGCGUGGCGCCCGUGUCGCUGCAUCCUCCACCACAACGCCUCUGCGUUGACCGCGCUCAUAACAAAAGCGUGCGUAACCUCCCUUCAGAGCUCAUUUGCGAGUCAUCAAAGCGGUCGUUAGACGUCUCGAUGAGGAUUGACCCGUGCGUCCUGCCCCGCGUUGCUGUAUGAGGAGGUUCUCCCCGCACAGAUCGGGUCCUGCAUGUGUGUGCGUCCACAGUGGAGCCAGGCCUCUCUGGUUGGAGAUCACCGCUCCGUGGAACCACAAACCCAGCAUUUCAGUCCUAUUCAUCCCUCUUGGCGCUGCCAGACUCUCUUCUUUUACUCCACUGGCAACAGGAGGUUCAGCUGAGAGCAGCCGCUCGUUCCUCCGGAGAGACCUGCUGCGUGUGGGUGGGAGGGAACGCGCCGCGACCUUGGGAGUAUCGUGUGAAGGUCGCGCUGGGAUGUCUUCUGCCUCGUCGCUGCUGCUACAGAUAGCUUCAGAUUCAUUUAUAGGGCUAUUAACCCCUUAAAGCUGUUCUAAUUGAUGUUUUUCCCUUAACAAUGGUUCAGGUCACAUUAGCGGCUGACAGACACUGCUUUCAUUUGGCGAGCCAGUAUGAACCAGCCACCACCAGGCUGAUAAACACAGCGAGGCCCUUAUUUAUUUAUUUAUUUAUUUAAACUACAAGCAGAGUAACCACUGACUGUGCUUUUGUUGGGCGAACACAAACAAGUCUGAUAUUUUAUAAUGUGAACAUUCACCGUGAUUGCAUGACAUCGCCUCUGCAGAUGUGCCAGCUGUGGUUCUCGGCUGGAACGUGAGAAUCCACUGCAGCCGCUGACCCGUGUCCGCGCGCGUGCUUGCAAGCGCCGGCGCCGAGUCGCUGGCUGAUUGGAUAAUUGCCCGGAUGAGCGCGCGUGCAGGUGUUCGCGGCUAAAGCCCUAAAAAGGUGCUCGGCGCGUGCGAACCGGCGGCUCGCUAGCAGGUUCGCGUUGGACCCGACGCCAUUCACCGGCGGCAGAACUCGAUGUUUACAGCGUGGCUCCAACAUUCGGGUGCACUUAGUAACGUCCUUGUCUCCGUGAGGAUUCAUAUGAAACGUGAAUAUUAAGUCUAAGAGGACCCACAGCCAUUGACAUAGUAGCUAAAUAUUGAAAAUACUGCAGUAAUACCUGUGUCCUUCAAGCUUUGAUGACAAAAAGCCUCCCUUUGCAGCAGCUGCAGCUUCCAGCUUAUAAUAAUAACCUGCCCAACUCCUUUCUUCCCUCAAACAUCGCUCCUGACAUAGACUCUGCUCGUUUGUUGAAGCCGCCGCGAAGGACCUGAAAGGCUUUUCAGGCCGGAGCGCGUGCGUGCGCUUCUGUGCGGGCGGCGCCGCGAGGCGUUCGGAGAACGGCCUCCGUCCGUUCGUUUCUCAACGGGAGGGAAAAGGUGGACGGCUUUUCAGCAGGUAUUGUUCCUGAGCCUGAAAUCAAAGCCACAACCGCCGGUGCUCCACUGAGCCCGGAGAAAAGCCGUUUGUUUCUCAGCCGUGCCUCAAAUGGUUUUCUAAUGAUGGGUUAGUGUAAUAAAUUGAUGAAGGUCCAUUAGCGAAUUUGAAACCCAGAACUAAUGUUCACUCUGUGUAAAUAUUCCAAUAAAUAAACAGCUACAAUAGUCA